AAACCGCUUCAUGCAGCCGCAGUAGCUCUGCUCCAGAAAGCCGCCCGAAAGGUCGGUGGUGUUCCUGUCGGCGCCUCGGCGCGACGAAGUAACGUGCUAGUCUUCCCGGGAGCCACGCUCCCGGGGGGCGACACCCUCAAAUUGCGGGAAACUCCUAAAGCCAGCGACACCAAGCCGGCGCCGAAAGGGCGUCGGUGGCCAGGGCAAUGACCCGGGGUACGGUAAAAGCGCGCUGGAUGGUGCAAUGGACGAUCCGCAGCCAAGCCUCGUCGCCGCAGGGCACGGGGGAGGUUCAGAGACUUGAUGGGGGUGGGUGUGGCGCGCGUCACGCCUAAGAUAAAGUCCGUCUACGCAGGAAAGUGUGUAGGGGUGACCUAAACG
Molecule: non-coding RNA, 381 nt
Filed under: Isaria japonica
Lineage: Eukaryota; Fungi; Ascomycota; Sordariomycetes; Hypocreales; Cordycipitaceae
Description: partial 18S rRNA
Rfam family: Group I catalytic intron (bases 65-366)
About the family: Group I catalytic introns are large self-splicing ribozymes. They catalyse their own excision from mRNA, tRNA and rRNA precursors in a wide range of organisms.
Source: RNAcentral